This 248-nucleotide ribosomal RNA is filed under the name uncultured ectomycorrhiza (Basidiomycota). Its description in RNAcentral is "5.8S ribosomal RNA". The stretch from base 93 to 247 matches the Rfam family "5.8S ribosomal RNA". From Rfam's summary of the family: 5.8S ribosomal RNA (5.8S rRNA) is a component of the large subunit of the eukaryotic ribosome. Lineage: Eukaryota; Fungi; Basidiomycota. The record is from RNAcentral.
CGUAUGUCUUAGAAGGUGUAUCGAGGGAAGCUUCCGCUCCGGAAAAGGGGGGAGGAGGUGGAACCGAUGCAAACGAAACGAAAUAAUUUACAACUUUUCAGCAACGGAUCUCUUGGCUCUCGCAUCGAUGAAGAACGCAGCGAAUUGCGAUAAGUAAUGUGAAUUGCAGAUUUCCAGUGAAUCAUCGAAUCUUUGAACGCACCUUGCGCUCCUUGGUAUUCCGAGGAGCAUGCCUGUUUGAGUGUCAU